Molecule: ribosomal RNA, 497 nt
Filed under: uncultured bacterium
Lineage: Bacteria
Description: partial 16S ribosomal RNA
Rfam family: Bacterial small subunit ribosomal RNA
Source: RNAcentral
UCUUCCCUCUUUCUUCGUGCCUAAUACAUGCAAGUCGAGCGAACAGGCGAGGAGCUUGCUCCUCUGACGUUAGCGGCGGACGGGUGAGUAACACGUGGAUAACCUACCUAUAAGACUGGGAUAACUUCGGGAAACCGGAGCUAAUACCGGAUAAUAUAUUGAACCGCAUGGUUCAAUAGUGAAAGACGGUUUUGCUGUCACUUAUAGAUGGAUCCGCGCCGCAUUAGCUAGUUGGUAAGGUAACGGCUUACCAAGGCAACGAUGCGUAGCCGACCUGAGAGGGUGAUCGGCCACACUGGAACUGAGACACGGUCCAGACUCCUACGGGAGGCAGCAGUAGGGAAUCUUCCGCAAUGGGCGAAAGCUUGACGGAGCAACGCCGCGUGAGUGAUGAAGGUCUUCGGAUCGUAAAACUCUGUUAUUAGGGAAGAACAAAUGUGUAAGUAACUAUGCACGUCUUGACGGUACCUAAUCAGAAAGCCACGGCUAACUACGUG